CCUGGUGGUGCACGUCCCCAACCUUAUGUGGAUUUCGUAAAUUCUGCAAAAAAGGUUUGGAAGCUGAUCAAUCAAUACUGGAACUCCCUCUUCUCCAGAAGAGACAUCCUGGCCUCCAUGCAGAGGAAUGUGUGGAUGGACAUAUAUUUAAGGAAGACACUAAACCAGAAACUACUACAUUACACCCUCUUAGAAGACUUCUAAGAUUGUUGUCAUGCCUACCACAGACAUUCAGAUGAUGUGUAUUGUUGAUUGUGAUUUCAUGUUUGGACCUGAUGAAGGAGUUUGAAGUCUCCAGAGCAGCAAAGAGAGUGGGGAGUAGAACUAUUCAUCUUUAGGUCACUCAUCAUCG
This 352-nucleotide long non-coding RNA is filed under the name Mus musculus (house mouse). RNAcentral describes it as "predicted gene 29498". Lineage: Eukaryota; Metazoa; Chordata; Mammalia; Rodentia; Muridae. The record is from RNAcentral.